This 1299-nucleotide long non-coding RNA is filed under the name Canis lupus familiaris (dog). RNAcentral describes it as "lncRNA (ENSCAFG00000058497.1)". The record is from RNAcentral. Lineage: Eukaryota; Metazoa; Chordata; Mammalia; Carnivora; Canidae.
AUGGGGGCACUGGGACCAGGCCUCCGCCAGAGAGGGGAAAGCCGCGGGACGUGGCAGUGCCGCUGCCCGGUGUGUGUGUCCCCCCCCCCCCCCCCCCCGUGUCAGGCAACAGCCUCUUGGUGGGCCCGGGCCGGGUUUUGGGCGGGGGGCGCGGGGCACGGGGCGCGGGGCCCGGCUGAGGAGGAGGAGGAGGAGGAGGAGGAGGAGGCCGCGGCUGGCUGGUGCUGCUGCUGCUCCCACCGGGGGCCUGUCCGACCCGGACUCUCUGCUCCUCCUGGUGAGCUCCGCCACCGCCUCCUCCCCAGCCCCUACCCCUCCGCCUCCCAAGACCCCCUCACGCUCAAGGCCCCCCCUUUGACGCCGGGUGGCCCGGCUCCACACCCGUUCCCCUUCCCGGGAUCCGGGAUCCGGACACGGGCACAGCAGGGUCCCCGCCCCCGUCCGCACCAGCAGUGGCGGCAGCCCUCCAGGUUCCCGUGCGGGUCCCUCCAGGUUCCCGUGCGGGUCGUUGGCGGGGCUGCAGGGGGCACGCGGCCAAAGGGCCAAAGGCCGCACGGAUCCUGCUCUAGCUCCCGGGGGAAGGGGCACGCGGCCAAAGGCCCGGCGCCCCCUGGCCCGGCCCGCGUGGCUGUGUCACCCCGCUCCAGUCCCGCCCAGACGUGGUGGCCACCAGGGAGGGGCCCGAGCCGAGCCGUGGCUUGGGGCUUCCCGGGCCCGACCGGCCAGGCCCCCAGGCCCCCGGACCCCGGACCCCGGACCUCCGUGGCGCUCCAUCCCGUCCGUCCCCGUCCGUCUCCCCCCCCCCACACUCCCACGUCACCCCCGGGGCCCCUCCACGCGGGAGAGAGAGCUCGGCGCUGGGCUCCCGGAUCCGCCGAGGACUUUCCGCUUGAUGGCAGUAUUGCACCGCGAAUGCCAGCCGGCCCUUCCCCCAGGGCCUCAGCCUCCGCCCUCUGCCAGAGGAAAAAAAGGCCAGGCCAGAAAACUCGGCAGCCCAGCCGGUGUCCGCCGUCCCUCGCCCCAACAUGGCGGCUCUCAUGUCAAGGGCCCGGCCACUGGGCCACUCGGGGCGAGGGUGGAGGGGUGGCGGGGGGCGAGCAAGCAAGCAAGCACGCACCCCUCGCUUCUGAGGCGAGGCUCCCGGGAGCGGAGCCCCGUCCCCUGGGCCGGGGGGCCCAGCUCCGUCUGCCCCCGUGGACCAAUAGUCAGGCACGCGUCUGCCGGUCCAGGGCCCCGGAGGAGGCUCCCGCUCUGGAUCACGCGGACCGACCUCCGUGGAGGCCCCGGCUGUCCCGGUAG